ACCUCGAUGAGUAGCUGUGGAGUGUCCCAGCAACAUCCCUUGAUAAAGUGUCAACUCCUCAUUGUCAAGACAGGGGAAGCCACACCUACUGUCAUCACAGACUGUGCCUCUCACAUGAGAAACCAUGUAUUGAUGCAGCAAGCGGGGAGGAGCACAGGGUUUGAAGAGGAAGAAAGAAGGCCUGGGAGGAUGGAUUUUCUGUACCUGCUCCUCUGUCAGAAAAGAGCUGACUCUCUAUGAUGCAGUGUCGCCAGCAGCUUCAAAGUCUGCCAUCUUGACUCCCCUGCAGUGAUGGACUAUGCUUGAAUUGAGGUUAUUAUCUUGAAUGUGUUCGUGGAGGUGCAAAGAUCCAGGCACUGUGGUUGCACCAUUGCUUGGACAGAGGAUUCUGAACUGUAUGAAAAAGAGACUGCUGGUUGAGUACUAGCAGGCACAUAUUCAUUUUCUUUCUGCUGUUGACUGAAGACAUGACUACCUGCUUUGAGUAACUGCACCUUUGACUCCCGACAGUGAUGGAUUUUAAAUUGGAAUUGUCAACUUAAAAACAACAUCAAAAACACUUUCUCCCUGAUGUUGCCUUUGUCAGAAUAUUUUAUUACAGAACCAGAGAUGAAACUA
Molecule: long non-coding RNA, 618 nt
Organism: Alexandromys fortis (reed vole)
Lineage: Eukaryota; Metazoa; Chordata; Mammalia; Rodentia; Cricetidae
Exons: 3
Source: RefSeq, a predicted model, not a curated record